Molecule: ribosomal RNA, 565 nt
Filed under: uncultured archaeon
Lineage: Archaea
Description: bacterial SSU rRNA
Rfam family: Archaeal small subunit ribosomal RNA
Source: RNAcentral
CGGGGUGCAGCAGGCGCGAAAACUUUACAAUGCGGGAAACCGUGAUAAGGGGACACCGAGUGCCAGCAUCAUAUGCUGGCUGUCCGGGUGUGUAAAAUACACCCGUUAGCAAGGGCCGGGCAAGACCGGUGCCAGCCGCCGCGGUAACACCGGCGGCCCGAGUGGUGAUCGUGAUUAUUGGGUCUAAAGGGUCCGUAGCCGGUUUGGUCAGUCCUCCGGGAAAUCUGACGGCUUAACCGUUAGGCUUUCGGGGGAUACUGCCAGGCUUGGAACCGGGAGAGGUAAGAGGUACUACAGGGGUAGGAGUGAAAUCUUGUAAUCCCUGUGAGACCACCUGUGGCGAAGGCGUCUUACCAGAACGGGUUCGACGGUGAGGGACGAAAGCUGGGGGCACGAACCGGAUUAGAUACCCGGGUAGUCCCAGCCGUAAACGAUGCUCGCUAGGUGUCAGGCAUGGCGCGACCGUGUCUGGUGCCGCAGGGAAGCCGUGAAGCGAGCCACCUGGGAAGUACGGCCGCAAGGCUGAAACUUAAAGGAAUUGGCGGGGGAGCACAAGGGCAAUUGC